AGCAGCAGCCACGGUAAUACAGAGGGUGCAAGCGUUAAUCGGAAUUACUGGGCGUAAAGCGCGCGUAGGUGGUUUGUUAAGUUGGAUGUGAAAGCCCCGGGCUCAACCUGGGAACUGCAUCCAAAACUGGCAAGCUAGAGUACGGUAGAGGGUGGUGGAAUUUCCUGUGUAGCGGUGAAAUGCGUAGAUAUAGGAAGGAACACCAGUGGCGAAGGCGACCACCUGGACUGAUACUGACACUGAGGUGCGAAAGCGUGGGGAGCAAACAGGAUUAGAUACCCCAGUAGUCCCUGUCUCUUAUAC
RNAcentral lists this ribosomal RNA (303 nucleotides) under uncultured bacterium. RNAcentral describes it as "partial 16S ribosomal RNA". It matches the Rfam family "Bacterial small subunit ribosomal RNA", at positions 507 to 807 of the family's 1533-position model. The record is from RNAcentral.